Molecule: ribosomal RNA, 402 nt
Filed under: bacterium
Lineage: Bacteria
Description: partial 16S ribosomal RNA
Rfam family: Bacterial small subunit ribosomal RNA
Source: RNAcentral
UGGGGAAUUUUGCACAAUGGGGGAAACCCUGAUGCAGCGACGCCGCGUGAUUUAGAAGGCCUUCGGGUUGUAAAAAUCUUUUCUAUGGGAAGAAAAUGACAGUACCAUAGGAAUAAUGACCGGCUAAUUACGUGCCAGCAGCCGCGGUAAUACGUAAGGUCCGAGCGUUGUCCGGAAUCAUUGGGCGUAAAGGGUACGUAGGCGGGUAAGCAAGUUAGAAGUGAAAUCCUAUAGCUCAACUAUAGUAAGCUUUUAAAACUGCUCAUCUUGAGGUAUGGAAGGGAAAGUGGAAUUCCUAGUGUAGCGGUGAAAUGCGCAGAUAUUAGGAGGAAUACCGGUGGCGAAGGCGACUUUCUGGCCAUAACCUGACGCUGAGGUACGAAAGCGUGGGUAGCAAACAGG